ACUCCAAAAACAACGCGGAUAAUUAGGUUGGCUGGAUAAAUUUUUCCUUCUGUAAAUUACCAGAAAAAUAAAUAAAGAAAGCCCUUUUUCCAUCUCUUCUCGGCGAUGAUCUCUCUGUUAUCGAAUUUAGGGAUUCUUCAAAAAAAUUUCGCAAUGGCCAAGGGUUUUAUUCAGGUAUGAUUAAUAGUGCCAGUACCUGAAAUUGGGGAAAAUUUGCAAAAUUGAGCAAGAUUUUUCAUGGGAUAUGGAAUAUAAUAACUCAAAAGAAAAAGAAGUGUUUGUUGAUAUCGAGAGUGGGGUUGCAAGUGGAGGAGCUGAUACAAGAACUUGUCCCCAUUCGGGAAAGAAACGAGGGAAGAAAUUGUUGAACAAGCUUACUAGUGGAGUUUUGGGCAUAAAUGGGUCAACUAAGGAUGAGCCUAGCAGCAAUCUUGGAGGGUUGGAUAAGGAUUCUCAUGAACCUGUCGAAUUGUUGAUACACAAGGGCCCGGGUGAUCAAGAGAGUCACGAGCUUUUGCCUCUUAUAGAGAAGAAACAUGAGAAAAAGAGAUGGAAAAAUGGAAAGUCCAAGAAGGCGGCUAAUAAGCCUCCACUACCUCCUAAAGGUCCAUCCUUGGAUGCUGCUGACAUGAAGUUGGUUAGAGAUAUUUCUCUGCAUGCCACUAAAAGGCGUGAGAGGAUUGAACGAAUGAAAGCGUUAAAGAAGAGGAAAGCAGCCAAAGAAUCAUCACCAUCUUCCACUGGCACCAUGUCUGCAAUGAUCAUUACAAUCCUUUUUUUCCUAGUGAUAAUCUUUCAAGGGAGCAUGGUUCAAUCAAAAGUUGUUGCAUUAGUUGAUUUGGAUGCAAGGAGAAUGCCAGUUAAAGUACUUGUUCACGUUAAUGCUCAAUUGAAGAGGUCGUGUUAUUUAAGUUCGUUAUAAAGGAGAAAACGAAGAAGAUGCAACACAUCACACCUGAAUAGGUUGGUGAAAAUGAAUAUUUUAUAUGGGUCAUUAAACGCAAAAUGUUGAUAAGAUUAAUGUAGUAGAAGUGGAGAUUUUAAGAUGGGCGUGUGGUAUGUUGUAAUGAAUAAAAAAUUUAAUAAGAAUGUACUCCAACUCCAUGUAAGGUAUGGAUAAAUUAGGGGAUCGAGGAAUGUCUUGCACAAACUAAAGAAGCUUCCAUUAACAUGAACGAUGCAAUCUCAGUUGAACGUGUUUGGAGAGGACUUGGUUCCAUGAAAAGUUCAACAGAGACAUCACUGGGGGCUCACGAGCCAGGAGUAGAGACAAAAAGCUUAAUUUCUGUUGAGUUCUACAAUCAUACGUAUUCGACUAACAGGUCCCCCGUCCAGGAUUCAGGUCCUCUGGAUAGAAUGGUUGGGUAACGCUUGCUUUCUGCUUCACAUCUGGAGAGACUGUUUUGUUGCGGAAGUAAAUAGGUAGAAAUUGCAACACUCGGAUUCAUUUGUACUAUGAUUUGUUAUUUUAUUUAGGUGAAAGAUUACUGACUUGCUCAA
This is an RNA transcript of Olea europaea var. sylvestris, 1500 nucleotides long. RefSeq lists it as uncharacterized. Lineage: Eukaryota; Viridiplantae; Streptophyta; Magnoliopsida; Lamiales; Oleaceae. The transcript has 4 exons. The record is from RefSeq and is a predicted model, not a curated record.